UCUGGGUCAAAGAAAAUUACCCUUAUCUAAGAGUGAUUUCGCCAUUUCUAUGUUCAACAUUGUGGUGAAAGUGGUGUUCUAAUAAGUGUUGUCACCUUUGCCGUAGAACAAAAUGUGCCACCACCAAACUCUCAGGCCACCAUGCCCGCGGUCACCAUCAUUAACACAGACCUACAAUUCGAAGUAGAGAAAAACAACAGAAAACCCAGAAAUCAAACUCUAGCCACCAUGAAACCCUAAACUAUGUUGCCAGUAAUCAGGGCAAAAUCUCCACCAUGUGUUGCACCUCACCACCAUUAAACAAGAACCGAAUCAAAAUCCCUAACCUGCAAACCAGAAAUUUCAACCCAAAUAUGAACAAGAAAAUCGCAAUCACGACACCUAGAAACCCAAUUCACACCUACAACAAACCAUAAACAUACAUAAUCACUACCCAAAUCGUAGAAACCCUAGUUCGCAAGCAGCAUCCAUGGGCACCAACCUGCAAAUUACACAAGCCAGAAACGUAGAAACAAUGUGAAGGUGAAACUCAAUGUUUACAUUCAGGUGUUUAUAUAUAAUGUUAAAUUUAGUUUACCCUUUGGUAAAAAAAGUGCAAUGUGGUCCCCUUUUCAAUUUAAAAUUGUGUACUUUGGUCCCAAAUGGAUAUCAACGAAAAACACAUGAUAGAUAUCUGACUUAGUUUCCACCAUUAGUUUCCAACUUCAGUCCACCGUCUUUCUCCACCUCUACUCCACCAUCCAAUCCUCUCCACCAUUAGUUUCCACUUUCAGUCCAUCAUCUUUGUCCACCUCCACUCCACCAUCCACUUGCUCUCCACCAUCACUUCCCACCUCCACUCCACCCUCUAUUUCUACCUUAAACCCUAACCCCCAAAUCCAACAACAAGAAUAUCAAUAAGUAGGCUAGGGUUAGCAACACUUACCUCAUGUACGUAUGCUCUUCAAAUUUGACCUUCAAUGAAUUACUACGCCAUAAUGAUUACAAUACCAGUUUCACCAAAUUGUUAAACCCAGAAAUUGCAAUUGGAUUCUUAAAUAAGGAUAAUUUGAUUUAAUCCAUUUCGUUAAACCUAGCUGAGGUCAUUAUAUAUCUUUUAAA
Molecule: long non-coding RNA, 1101 nt
Filed under: Vigna radiata
Lineage: Eukaryota; Viridiplantae; Streptophyta; Magnoliopsida; Fabales; Fabaceae
Description: long non-coding RNA (VRAD_LNC009165)
Source: RNAcentral